Molecule: ribosomal RNA, 428 nt
Filed under: uncultured bacterium
Lineage: Bacteria
Description: bacterial SSU rRNA
Rfam family: Bacterial small subunit ribosomal RNA
Source: RNAcentral
UCGAGGAUAUUUAGCAAUGGGCGAAAGCCUGACUAUGCGACGCCGCGUGAGGGAUGAAGGAUUUCGGUUCGUAAACCUCUUUUGGCAGGGAAGAACAUUUCGUAUCUAAUCACUACGAAACUGACGGUACCUGCAGAAUCAGCCACGGCUAACUCCGUGCCAGCAGCCGCGGUAAUACGGAGGUGGCUAGCGUUACUCGGAAUUAUUGGGUGUAAAGGGCAAGUAGGCGGCUUAGUAAGUGGGGGGUGAAAUACUCCGGCUCAAUCGGAGAACUGCCUUCCAAACUGCUAAGCUUGAGUAUGACAGAGGAAAAUGGAAUUCUUGGUGUAAGGGUGAAAUCUGUAGAUAUCAAGAAGAACACCAGCUGCGAAGGCGAUUUUCUGGGUCAUUACUGACGCUAAAUUGCGAAAGCUAGGGGAGCAAACAGA